RNAcentral lists this ribosomal RNA (434 nucleotides) under uncultured Lachnospiraceae bacterium. RNAcentral describes it as "bacterial SSU rRNA". It matches the Rfam family "Bacterial small subunit ribosomal RNA", at positions 341 to 792 of the family's 1533-position model. Lineage: Bacteria; Bacillati; Bacillota; Clostridia; Lachnospirales; Lachnospiraceae. The record is from RNAcentral.
ACGGAAGGCAGCAGUGGGGAAUAUUGGACAAUGGGGGAAACCCUGAUCCAGCGACGCCGCGUGAGUGAAGAAGUAUUUCGGUAUGUAAAGCUCUAUCAGCAGGGAAGAUAAUGACGGUACCUGACUAAGAAGCCCCGGCUAACUACGUGCCAGCAGCCGCGGUAACACGUAGGGGGCAAGCGUUAUCCGGAUUUACUGGGUGUAAAGGGAGCGUAGACGGCAUGGCAAGUCUGAUGUGAAAACCCGGGGCUCAACCCCGGGACUGCAUUGGAAACUGUCAGGCUUGAGUGCAGGAGAGGUAAGUGGAAUUCCUAGUGUAGCGGUGAAAUGCGUAGAUAUUAGGAGGAAAACCAGUGGCGAAGGCGGCUUACUGGACUGUAACUGACGUUGAGGCUCGAAAGCGUGGGGAGCAAACAGGAUUAGAUACCCUGGUA